UGCAGGUUUCCUGUCUCUGUGGGGCGGAUCCUUCUCUCCGGUGGUGCUGUCAUGGGCUCUGUAAAAUCAAAUUACCGUUCCUACAAUACAGGAUCCGCUUAGUGGAUAUCUUCUAUAUGAGAGCCUUCUUCUGAUUGACCCGUCAAGGAUGAAUAAGGACAGUGACAAGAUGGCAGAGAGUAUAAUACAUCUCACCCUAGAGAUCCUCUUACAGCUUACUGGAGAGAACUACAUAGUAGUGAAGAAGACCUCUAGUGAGAACUGUCAGGACCCUGUGUCUACAGGAUUGGGAAGAACCCUGAGCCCAAUCACAGGGCCUCCACCUCAUCCCCUGAUACAUGAGGAAAUCAAUAGAGAGAAGAUUCUAGGACUCACCAACAAGAUGAUUGAGUUGCUGACU
Bufo gargarizans (Asiatic toad) is the source of this 400-nucleotide long non-coding RNA. RefSeq lists it as uncharacterized. The transcript is spliced from 3 exons. The record is from RefSeq and is a predicted model, not a curated record. NCBI's taxonomy places the organism in Eukaryota, Metazoa, Chordata, Amphibia, Anura, Bufonidae.